RNAcentral lists this ribosomal RNA (484 nucleotides) under uncultured bacterium. RNAcentral's name for it is "partial 16S ribosomal RNA". It matches the Rfam family "Bacterial small subunit ribosomal RNA", at positions 28 to 523 of the family's 1533-position model. The record is from RNAcentral.
GACGAACGCUGGCGGCGUGCUUAACACAUGCAAGUCGAACGAUGAAGCCGGAGCUUGCUCUGGUGAAUUAGUGGCGAACGGGUGAGUAACACGUGAGUAACCUGCCCUUGACUCUGGGAUAACUGCGGGAAACUGUAGCUAAUACCGGAUACGACCCUCGGAGGCAUCUCCUGGGGGUGGAAAGAAUUUCGGUCAAGGAUGGACUCGCGGCCUAUCAGCUAGUUGGUGAGGUAAAGGCUCACCAAGGCAACGACGGGUAGCCGGCCUGAGAGGGUGACCGGCCACACUGGGACUGAGACACGGCCCAGACUCCUACGGGAGGCAGCAGUGGGGAAUAUUGCACAAUGGGCGCAAGCCUGGUGCAGCAACGCCGCGUGAGGGAUGACGGCCUUCGGGUUGUAAACCUCUUUUAGCAGGGAAGAAGCGAAAGUGACGGUACCUGCAGAAAAAGCACCGGCUAACUACGUGCCAGCCGCCGCUGUAA